RNAcentral lists this ribosomal RNA (229 nucleotides) under uncultured bacterium. RNAcentral's name for it is "partial 16S ribosomal RNA". It matches the Rfam family "Bacterial small subunit ribosomal RNA", at positions 88 to 334 of the family's 1533-position model. The record is from RNAcentral.
UACAGCAGUGGCAGACGGGUGAGUAACGCGUGGGAACGUGCCUUUUGGUUCGGAACAACCCAGGGAAACUUGGGCUAAUACCGGAUAAGCCCUUACGGGGAAAGAUUUAUCGCCAAAAGAUCGGCCCGCGUCUGAUUAGCUAGUUGGUGAGGUAACGGCUCACCAAGGCAACGAUCAGUAGCUGGUCUGAGAGGAUGAUCAGCCACACUGGGACUGAGACACGGCCCAG